CGGGCGGCAGGUAGCCUAGUGGUUAGAGUGUAGGGGCGGGCGGCAGGUAGCCUAGUGGUUAGAGUGUAGGGGGGGCGGCAGGUAGCCUAGUGGUUAGGGUGUGGUUAGAGUGUAGGUAGCCGAGUGGUUAGAGUGUGGGGGCGGCAGGUAGCCUAGUGGUUAGAGUGUAGGGGGUUAUUUAGUCUAGUGGUUAGAGUGUAGGGGGUUAGGUAGCCUAGUGGUUAGAGCGUAGGGGGUUAGGUAGCCUAGUGGUUAGGUAGCCUAGUGGUUAGAGCGUAGGGGGGGGUUAGGUAGUCUAGUGGUUAGAGCGUAGGGGGGUUAGGUAGUCUAGUGGUUAGAGCGUAGGGGGUUAGGUAGUCUAGUGGUUAGAGCGUAGGGGGGUUAGGUAGUCUAGUGGUUAGAGCGUAGGGGGUUAGGUAGUCUAGUGGUUAGAGCGUAGGGGAGGGUUAGGUAGUCUAGUGGUUAGAGUUUUGGGCCAGUAACCAGCAGGUAGUCUAGUGGUUAGAGUGUAGGGGGGUUAGGUAGUCUAGUGGUUAGAGUGGAGGUCUAGUAUCCAUAAAGGUUGCUAGAUCGAAUCCCCGAGCUGACACGGUACAAAUCUGUCAUUCUGCCCCUGAACAAGGCAGUUAACCCACUGUUCCUAGACCAGUUAACCCACUGUUCCUAGACCAGUUAACCCACUGUUCCUAGACCAGUUAACCCACUGUUCCUAGACCGUCAUUGAAAAUAAAUAUUUGUUCUUAACUGACUUGCCUAAAUAUACUGUAUUGUAUUCUAUACUGACUGUUAAAUGAAGAGAAAAAUAAAUUAAAAUAAAUAAUAACGGCCGGCACGGAGCGAAUGGCAUCAAACACCUGGAAACCAUGGAAACCCCUGUGUUUAAUGUAUUUGAUACCUUU
Molecule: long non-coding RNA, 899 nt
Organism: Oncorhynchus tshawytscha (Chinook salmon)
Lineage: Eukaryota; Metazoa; Chordata; Actinopteri; Salmoniformes; Salmonidae
Source: Ensembl